AUUGAACGCUGGCGGCAGGCCUAACACAUGCAAGUCGAGCGGAUGAAGGGAGCUUGCUCCUGGAUUCAGCGGCGGACGGGUGAGUAAUGCCUAGGAAUCUGCCUGGUAGUGGGGGAUAACGUCCGGAAACGGGCGCUAAUACCGCAUACGUCCUGAGGGAGAAAGUGGGGGAUCUUCGGACCUCACGCUAUCAGAUGAGCCUAGGUCGGAUUAGCUAGUUGGUGGGGUAAAGGCCUACCAAGGCGACGAUCCGUAACUGGUCUGAGAGGAUGAUCAGUCACCCUGGAACUGAGACACGGUCCAGACUCCUACGGGAGGCAGCAGUGGGGAAUAUUGGACAAUGGGCGAAAGCCUGAUCCAGCCAUGCCGCGUGUGUGAAGAAGGUCUUCGGAUUGUAAAGCACUUUAAGUUGGGAGGAAGGGCGGUAAGUUAAUACCUUGCUGUUUUGACGUUACCAACAGAAUAAGCACCGGCUAACUUCGUG
RNAcentral lists this ribosomal RNA (484 nucleotides) under uncultured bacterium. RNAcentral's name for it is "partial 16S ribosomal RNA". It matches the Rfam family "Bacterial small subunit ribosomal RNA", at positions 30 to 507 of the family's 1533-position model. The record is from RNAcentral.